RNAcentral lists this long non-coding RNA (445 nucleotides) under Homo sapiens (human). RNAcentral describes it as "HSALNT0367246". Lineage: Eukaryota; Metazoa; Chordata; Mammalia; Primates; Hominidae. The record is from RNAcentral.
UGUUGCUGGCGUGAAGAUGGAGGAGGCGCCAUGAUGAGGAACGCCGGUGGUCUCUAGAAGCUGAGAAUGGCCUUUGGCUGACAGCCUGCAAGGGAAUGGAAACCUCAGUUCUACUGUAACAAGGACCUGGAUUCUGCCAAUAACCUGAAUGCACUUGGGAGCGGAUUGUUUCCUAGAUCCUCCAGAUAGAGCUCAGCCAGCUGACACUUGGACUUCAGCGUUAUAAGACUCUAAGCAGAGAACCCAGCCAAGACCACCCGACUCUGACCUACAGAAAUUUUCUGGAGUUACAAAUGCACUUCAAUAAUGAUCAAGUCAUGCUGCAACAGGCACAGAGAACAAAGAAACAACUGCAACAAGAAACUGCUGAACUUGGGUCUGAAAUCCCAGCAUUAACAAAAAAGGUUCUUACUCUAUUGUCCAGCCUGGAGUGCAGUGGUGCGAU